Molecule: transfer RNA, 72 nt
Filed under: Camelus bactrianus (Bactrian camel)
Lineage: Eukaryota; Metazoa; Chordata; Mammalia; Artiodactyla; Camelidae
Also listed under: 2 other names
Rfam family: tRNA
About the family: Transfer RNA (tRNA) molecules are approximately 80 nucleotides in length. Their secondary structure includes four short double-helical elements and three loops (D, anti-codon, and T loops).
Source: Rfam by way of RNAcentral
GAGGUUAUAGCUCAGGGGUAGAGCACGUGCUUAGCAUGCAUGAGGUCCUGGGUUCAAUCCCUAGUACCUCCG